AUCUGAUGUUAUUGAUUAGGGUUGUCACCAUAUCUGAUGUUAUUGAUUAGGGUUGUCACCAUAUCAUUAAUGAUUAGGGUUGUCACCAUAUCUGAUGUUAUUGAUUAGGGUUGUCACCAUAUCUGAUGUUAUUGAUUAGGGUUGUCACCAUAUCUGAUGUUAUUGAUUAGGGUUGUCACCAUAUCUGAUGUUAUUGAUUAGGGUUGUCACCAUAUCAUUAAUGAUUAGGGUUGUCACCAUAUCUGAUGUUAUUGAUUAGGGUUGUCACCAUAUCUGAUGUUAUUGAUUAGGGUUGUCACCAUAUCUGAUGUUAUUGAUUAGGGUUGUCACCAUAUCUGAUGUUGUUGAUUAGGGUUGUCACCAUAUCUGAUGUUAUUGAUUAGGGUUGUCACCAUAUCUGAUGUUAUUGAUUAGGGUUGUCACCAUAUCAUUAAUGAUUAGGGUUGUCACCAUAUCUGAUGUUAUUGAUUAGGGUUGUCACCAUAUCUGAUGUUAUUGAUUAGGGUUGUCACCAUAUCUGAUGUUAUUGAUUAGGGUUGUCACCAUAUCAUUAAUGAUUAGGGUUGUCACCAUAUCUGAUGUUAUUGAUUAGGGUUGUCACCAUAUCUGAUGUUAUUGAUUAGGGUUGUCAUCAUAUCUGAUGUUAUUGAUUAGGGUUGUCACCAUAUCUGAUGUUGUUGAUUAGGGUUGUCACCAUAUCUGAUGUUAUUGAUUAGGGUUGUCACCAUAUCUGAUGUUAUUGAUUAGGGUUGUCACCAUAUCUGAUGUUAUUGAUUAGGGUUGUCACCAUACCUGAUGUUAUUGAUUAGGGUUGUCACCAU
This is a non-coding RNA of Oncorhynchus mykiss (rainbow trout), 821 nucleotides long. Lineage: Eukaryota; Metazoa; Chordata; Actinopteri; Salmoniformes; Salmonidae. The record is from RefSeq and is a predicted model, not a curated record.